Molecule: long non-coding RNA, 1308 nt
Filed under: Junco hyemalis (dark-eyed junco)
Lineage: Eukaryota; Metazoa; Chordata; Aves; Passeriformes; Passerellidae
Description: lncRNA (ENSJHYG00000014753.1)
Source: RNAcentral
CUUCCUCAUUCCCACUGUUCCCCUUUGUGCAGCACCGGGCCAGCAGAGGAAGAUCUCGGAUUUCUUUGGGAUCCUGAAGUCGCCGCAAGCAGGAGGCGCCGGGAUGCCGAGCCGCGGGAUCAAGGAGGAGCCCCUGGAUCCCUUUUCCCCUGGAGCUCCUGCUUCCUUCAGCCAGCCCUGCCCUUCCCUGCCUCCUCCCAGGGCCCAUUCCAGGAAAAGAGCAAUUCCCAAAGCCGAGCAGGAGCUGUGGGAGGAACCCGAGGAGAAGCUCCCGGAGCUCGGUGGGAUCCAGCAGGAAUGGGAGGAGCUGGAGUUGUGGAUCUGUACCAGAACCUGAGCCUGGUGUGUCGCUGCUGGAGGGAGAUAAUCCGGGAUCCGCGGGUAAGGAACGUUCUGGGAUCAUCCCAUGGGAUCAUCCAUCCUUUGUUUCCCUUUGCUCCUUUAAAUCCCAUCAUUCUUCCCAUGGAUCAUCCAUGCCCUGCCUGCCUCCUUGUUCCUUUAAAUCCCAUCAUUCUUCCCCAAAUCCAGGAAUUUUUUGAUGUUUUGCCAUUUUUCUUUGGUCUUCUGGACCAAAAGAUCCAAGAUCCAUGAGUAAGGAAUGCCUUGGGAUGAUCCCAUGGGAUCGUCCAUUCUUCCCUUUUUUCCUAUAAAUCCCAUCAUUCUUCCCACAAUCCAGGAAUUUUUCGAUUUCUUGCCAUUUUUCUUUGGUCUUCUGGACCAAAAGAUCCAAGAUCCAUGGGUAAGAAAUACUCUGGGAUUAUCCUAUGGGAUCAUCCACGUCUUCUUUUAUUCCUUUAGAUCCCAUAAUUCUUCCCAAAAUCUGUGAAUUUUUAGGUCUCCUGCCAUUUUUUUUGACCAAAAGUUGCUGCCCUAUAUCCAAAAUCUGGGAUCCACAAGUAAGGAACUCUCUGGGAUCAUCCCAUGGAUCAUUCAUGUUUCCCUUUGUUCCUGUAAAUCCCAUUAUUCUUCACAAAAUCCAUGAAUUUUUAGGUCUUCUGCCAUUUUUCCAUUUUUUCUUUGGUCUUCUUGAGCAAAAGUUGUUGCCCUAUAUCUGAGAUCUGUGGGUAAGGAAUGCUCUGGGAUCAUCCCAUGGGAUCAUCCAUCCUUUGCUUCCCUUUGUUCCUUUAAAUCCCAUCAUUUUUCCCCAAAUCCAGGAAUUUUUAGGUUUCCUGCCGUUUUUUUUUUAACCAAAAGUUGAUGUCGUAUAUCCAAAAUCUGAGAUCCACAGGUAAAGAACUCUCUGGGAUUAUCCCAUGGGAUCAUCCAUGCUCUGUCUGCCUCCUUGUUCCUUUAAAUCCCAUCAUUCUU